GAUGAACGCUGGCGGCGUGCCUAAUACAUGCAAGUCGAGCGAAUAGACGAGGAGCUUGCUCCUCUGACGUUAGCGGUGGACGGGUGAGUAACACGUGGAUAACCUACCUAUAAGACUGGGAUAACUUUGGGAAACCGGAGCUAAUACCGGAUAACAUGUUGAACCGCAAGGUUCAACAGUGAAAGACGGUCUUGCUGUCACUUAUAGAUGGAUCCGCGCCGCAUUAGCUAGUUGGUAAGGUAACGGCUUACCAAGGCAACGAUGCGUAGCCGACCUGGGAGGGUGAUCGGCCACACUGGAACUGAGACACGGUCCAGACUCCUACGGGAGGCAGCAGUAGGGAAUCUUCCGCAAUGGGCGAAAGCCUGACGGAGCAACGCCGCGUGAGUGAAGAAGGUCUUCGGAUCGUAAAACUCUGUUAUUAGGGAAGAACAAAUGUGUAAGUAACUAUGCACGUCUUGACGGUACCUAAUCAGAAAGCCACGGCUAACUACGUGCCAGCCGCCGCCGUAA
RNAcentral lists this ribosomal RNA (513 nucleotides) under uncultured bacterium. Its description in RNAcentral is "partial 16S ribosomal RNA". It matches the Rfam family "Bacterial small subunit ribosomal RNA", at positions 28 to 523 of the family's 1533-position model. The record is from RNAcentral.